CCCGCGGCAAGACGGAAAGACCCCGUGAACCUUUACUAUAGCUUGACACUGAACAUGGAGCCUUGAUGUGUAGGAUAGGUGGGAGGCCUGGAAGUGCGGACGCCAGUCUGCAUGGAGCCAUCCUUGAAAUACCACCCUUGAAUGUUCGAUGUUCUCACUCAGGCCCGUUACCCGGGCCGGGGACAGUGUCUGGCGGGUAGUUUGACUGGGGCGGUCUCCUCCCAAAGCGUAACGGAGGAGCACGAAGGUUGGCUAAUCACGGUCGGACAUCGUGAGGUU
Molecule: ribosomal RNA, 279 nt
Filed under: Photorhabdus luminescens subsp. sonorensis
Lineage: Bacteria; Pseudomonadati; Pseudomonadota; Gammaproteobacteria; Enterobacterales; Morganellaceae
Description: partial 23S ribosomal RNA
Rfam family: Bacterial large subunit ribosomal RNA
Source: RNAcentral